UCAUACGGGAGGCACAGAGGGAAUCUUCGCAAUGGAAGAAAGUAUGACGGAGCAACGCCGCGUGAGUGAUGAAGGUUUCGGAUCGAAAGCUCUGUUGUUAGGGAAGAACAAGUGCGAGAGUAACUGCUAGCACCUUGACGGUACCUAACCAGAAAGCCACGGGUAACUACGUGCCAGCAGCCGCGGUAAUACGUAGGUGGCCAGCGUUGUCCGGAAUUAUUGGGCGUAAAGGGCUUGCAGGCGGUUUCUUAAGUAUGAUGUGAAAGCCCCCGGCUCAACCGGGGAGGGUCAUUGGAAACUGGGAAACUUGAGUGCAGAAGAGGAGAGUGGAAUUCCACGUGUAGCGGUGAAAUGCGUAGAGAUGUGGAGGAACACCAGUGGCGAAGGCGACUCUCUGGUCUGUAACUGACGCUGAGGAGCGAAAGCGUGGGGAGCGAACAGGAUUAGAUACCCUGGUAGUCCACGCCGUAAACGAUGAGUGCUAAGUGUUAGGGGGUUUCCGCCCCUUAGUGCUGCAGCUAACGCAUUAAGCACUCCGCCUGGGGAGUACGGUCGCAAGACUGAAACUCAAAGGAAUUGACGGGGGCCCGCACAAGCGGUGGAGCAUGUGGUUUAAUUCGAAGCAACGCGAAGAACCUUACCAGGUCUUGACAUCCUUUGACAACCCUAGAGAUAGGGCUUUCCCUUCGGGGACAGAGUGACAGGUGGUGCAUGGUGUCGUCAGC
RNAcentral lists this ribosomal RNA (725 nucleotides) under Bacillus australimaris. Its description in RNAcentral is "bacterial SSU rRNA". It matches the Rfam family "Bacterial small subunit ribosomal RNA", at positions 337 to 1059 of the family's 1533-position model. Lineage: Bacteria; Bacillati; Bacillota; Bacilli; Caryophanales; Bacillaceae. The record is from RNAcentral.